AUUGAACGCUGGCGGCAUGCCUUACACAUGCAAGUCGAACGGUAACGGGCCUUCGGGUGCCGACGAGUGGCGAACGGGUGAGUAAUGCAUCGGAACGUACCUUUCAGUGGGGGAUAACGUAGCGAAAGUUACGCUAAUACCGCAUAUUCUGUGAGCAGGAAAGCAGGGGAUCGCAAGACCUUGCGCUGAUUGAGCGGCCGAUGUCAGAUUAGCUAGUUGGUGAGGUAAAAGGCUCACCAAGGCGACGAUCUGUAGCGGGUCUGAGAGGAUGAUCCGCCACACUGGAACUGAGACACGGUCCAGACUCCUACGGGAGGCAGCAGUGGGGAAUUUUGGACAAUGGGGGCAACCCUGAUCCAGCCAUGCCGCGUGAGUGAAGAAGGCCUCGGUUGUAAGA
RNAcentral lists this ribosomal RNA (397 nucleotides) under uncultured bacterium. RNAcentral's name for it is "bacterial SSU rRNA". It matches the Rfam family "Bacterial small subunit ribosomal RNA", at positions 30 to 430 of the family's 1533-position model. The record is from RNAcentral.